CGCAACCUAGCGGAAAUUUUGCACAGCCUUCUCAGUUCUCCAUAGUGGCAUCCGUUUCCGCAGAGCUGCUGUGAGAUUUUGUAAACAUUGUGAUUGUAUUGUAUUAUGUUUAUUUUUUGUACCAAAUUGCGUUUGACACGACCUUAAUAUGACGUCUAGUGCAGGAAUUCCUUCGUCGACGAUAAAUUAUUUGAUCGUAACUGCAAAUGUUGGUACAUUAUUUGAAAAUCCUCUUGGAAUUCAAGAUGUUUGGAUUAAGGAAUUUUCUUUGGUAAGUUUCUUUAGUUUAAUGCAGGUCGCAACUUUUGAAUCAUUUUUACAGUGGUUGCGAUCCUGGAAAUCAUAACAUUGCGAAUUCUAGUGAAAACUGGGGGGGGAGGGGGCAAGAUUUAAGUUAUAUUUUCGGUUAUCAUAAAUUGUAUAAGAACUCAGGGCUGUAUAGUUACUUGUUUUAUGUGCUUGUCCGAAGGACAACCUAAUGCAUUAGUUUACUUUUUCCAACAAAAUUUUUUACUUGUCGCAUUGAAAUGAACAAUGUCUUCAAAUGCGGCAACAAAGAACUAGUCUUCUCAAAUCUGUUCGGCAGCCAAGCUAAAUCUUUGUAACUAAAUAACAUAGGUUUACUCAUGGAAAGAAGAGGGAAGGGAGAGUGUAAUACUAUGGUUUAACAGCUAGUGCUUUUUAACAUGUAAAAUAAUGAAGUGUUGUGUGAAAAAAAUAUAAAGAUAUAUGAAUUUGUCGAUACAUCGAACAUACGAAUUUGUCAAUACACCUUGUACUUAACAUUUGA
This is a non-coding RNA of Ciona intestinalis (vase tunicate), 790 nucleotides long. Lineage: Eukaryota; Metazoa; Chordata; Ascidiacea; Phlebobranchia; Cionidae. The record is from RefSeq and is a predicted model, not a curated record.